Austrofundulus limnaeus is the source of this 236-nucleotide long non-coding RNA. RefSeq lists it as uncharacterized. Lineage: Eukaryota; Metazoa; Chordata; Actinopteri; Cyprinodontiformes; Rivulidae. The record is from RefSeq and is a predicted model, not a curated record. The transcript is spliced from 3 exons.
UAAAAGAAGCUAGCUACCGACCAGGUAAUAAAACACAAUGAGUCAUGCGAGGGCCAUAAAAGAAUUUUUGAACAUUCCAACUGCAAGCAGAAAUGUGGGAACAACUGGCUACUCCAACUUGACGGACUCUCAGAUUUUCCUUGGGUCCCAGUUUUGGCUUGAGAAUUCCCAAGGCACCUCUCAGGAUGUGAGUUUGUCAUCCAGAAACUCCCAACAAAGUUCACAAGAGGUGGGUA